AGGAAAUUCUAUGGGUAGAAAAUGAUGGUUACAUCAGUAUAAUAAAGUUAAUAACUUUAUUUAUUAAGAGUUCGAAUCUCUUGUUUCCUG
This 90-nucleotide transfer RNA is filed under the name Streptomyces ziwulingensis. RNAcentral's name for it is "tRNA-Val". RNAcentral also lists the same sequence under 1 other name. Lineage: Bacteria; Bacillati; Actinomycetota; Actinomycetes; Kitasatosporales; Streptomycetaceae. The record is from RNAcentral.